This 144-nucleotide unclassified non-coding RNA is filed under the name soil metagenome. RNAcentral's name for it is "partial internal transcribed spacer 1". The record is from RNAcentral.
UAAUAAGUGUUUUAUGGCACUUUUUUAAAUCCAUAUCCACCUUGUGUGCAAUGUCAGUCGAUCUUCUUCAUGGAGAUCGACCAAACAUCAACCUUAUUUUUAACUCUUUGUCUGAAAAAUAUUAUGAAUAAACAAUUCAAAAUA